Molecule: transfer RNA, 65 nt
Filed under: Delia antiqua (onion fly)
Lineage: Eukaryota; Metazoa; Arthropoda; Insecta; Diptera; Anthomyiidae
Description: tRNA-Thr
Rfam family: tRNA
About the family: Transfer RNA (tRNA) molecules are approximately 80 nucleotides in length. Their secondary structure includes four short double-helical elements and three loops (D, anti-codon, and T loops). Further hydrogen bonds mediate the characteristic L-shaped molecular structure. tRNAs have two regions of fundamental functional importance: the anti-codon, which is responsible for specific mRNA codon recognition, and the 3' end, to which the tRNAs corresponding amino acid is attached (by aminoacyl-tRNA synthetases). tRNAs cope with the degeneracy of the genetic code in two manners: having more than one tRNA (with a specific anti-codon) for a particular amino acid; and 'wobble' base-pairing, i.e. permitting non-standard base-pairing at the 3rd anti-codon position.
Source: RNAcentral
GUUUUAAUAGUUUAAUAAAAACAUUGGUCUUGUAAACCAAAAAUAAGAUUAUUUCUUUUAAAAUU